This 430-nucleotide ribosomal RNA is filed under the name uncultured bacterium. Its description in RNAcentral is "bacterial SSU rRNA". It matches the Rfam family "Bacterial small subunit ribosomal RNA", at positions 355 to 776 of the family's 1533-position model. The record is from RNAcentral.
UGGGGAAUAUUGGACAAUGGGCGCAAGCCUGAUCCAGCCACGCCGCGUGAGUGAUGAAGGCCUUCGGGUUGUAAAGCUCUGUGGGGAGGGACGAAAAAGGUGGGGAAGACAACGCCCCGCCCUUGACGGUACCUCCUUAGCAAGCACCGGCUAACUCUGUGCCAGCAGCCGCGGUAAGACAGAGGGUGCGAACGUUGCUCGGAAUUACUGGGCGUAAAGCGCGUGUAGGCGGGUAAUCAAGUCAGAUGUGAAAUCCCUGGGCUCAACCCAGGAACUGCAUUUGAAACUGGUUGCCUUGAGUGUUGGAGAGGGAAGCGGAAUUCCUGGUGUAGAGGUGAAAUUCGUAGAUAUCAGGAGGAACACCGGUGGCGAAGGCGGCUUCCUGGACAAUUACUGACGCUGAGACGCGAAAGCGUGGGGAGCAAACAGG